Long non-coding RNA from Mus musculus (house mouse), 3795 nucleotides. RefSeq annotates it as RIKEN cDNA C330016L05 gene. The record is from RefSeq and is a predicted model, not a curated record. Lineage: Eukaryota; Metazoa; Chordata; Mammalia; Rodentia; Muridae. The transcript is spliced from 3 exons.
AAUGUUAUGGUCAUAUAUUACUACUGUUAAGCAAUAUUCCUUUGUAUCAUGGUCGGUUUGAUUUUAUUUGGAGAUUUGUCUGUUUUAUGUAUAUGGGUGUUUUUCCUACAUGUAUGCGCACCGUGUUUGUACCUGGUGCCCAUGGAAGCUAGAAGAGGGCAUCAAUUCCCCUAAAGCUGGGUUUACAGACUUCUGCGAGUCACCACGUGGGUGCUAGGAAUUGAAUCCAGGUUCUCUGGAAGAGCCGUCAGUGCUCACAGCGGGCUGAGCCAUCUCCCCAGCCCUUGAGAUUGUUUUCAACGGUAACUUGCCACAAAUUGGAAUCACCGGGAUAGGGAGAUCACCUGAAGAAGAGUCCGGAUUGCCUGGGCCGAGUGAGAAGACCCACCUGAAUGUGGGCGGUGCCUUCUGGUAGGUGGAAGGGGCGUGGCGGAGAAAGAUCACCUGACCUUUGUACUUGGCCAUUGCUGCCGCGUCUGCUCCUAACUCCUUUGCUGACACCAGAUCAAGCAUUUCCUGGCUUUCCUGGGAGACUAGGAACCGGAGGUUCUCUGAGGACCUUCUGAGCUGCCACAGCACACUGGGACUACUGGACACCCAGUCUCAAGCACCAUGUAACUAAUGAGAGGACCUGAUUCGGUUCCCAGCACCCACAAUGGAUGCUCGCAAACUGCCUGUAACUACAGCUCUGGAUGAUCUAGCACCCUCUCCUGGCAUCUGCAGCGGAGUGGAGUGGAGUACCUUGGAUUUUGGUGAACUUGAAAGAGGAAGAGUCAGGAUGAGAUGCAGACCCCAAAGCCAAACCACCGGGACUUACUUCUUCCAGCCAGGCCUCAGCUUCCACAGCUCCACCACCUCCCAACCAUCUAUUCAAGACUCAGACCUACUAGUGGAUUAAUCCCUCGUGAUGUAGAAUCACUUCCAAACCCUGGAACUGGGAAUCAUCCUGAAGGAACAUCCCAGAUUCAGUCUAUACCAAGCCUUUGGCACACAGCGUCUCAAAGUCCCUUAACCAAGAGUGAUCUUGACCUCCUGGUCCUUCUACCCCCCAGUUCCUGAAUGCUGAAUGCACCAUGAUUCUUGUUUUAUGUGGUGCUGGGAAUAGAACCUACAGCCCUGAAUACUCAAGUCAAGCACCCCACCCACUAAGCCACGCCCCAGCCAGCCUUGAUUCUUGAUCGUAUGCUUUUUUCUUGUGUGUGAUUUAACCUCACAUUGUUUCCAUGCAUGUGGGAUUAGGGGUCUUUCAUUGGUUGUAUCAUACAGACCCCGUGUGGCUAGGUGUGAAGUUGGCUUGAUCUUCUAGGCUUAUGGAUCACAUAGUGAAUGAAAUUCUCACAGCACACUUCUCCGGGUGAUUCCCUGUGUGUCCUGACAUUAAAUGGUUUAUGACUACUCUUGCUAACUACAGACUGUGUCUUCUGGCACUGUUCCUGUGUGCCAACGAGGCCAUAGGAAAAACACUGGGAUCACUACCCAUGGGUUAAGCAAGAGGUUCCCAGGCUGAGGAUAUGAGGAAGAGCCACCACCUGAAAUGUGAUAACAAAAGGCAUGCUGACCCAAAGGCAGGGCUAAGCCUGUGGGUGUCCCUUUAUCCUGGGAAAGUCCCCAUCAGAGCAAUGGGACAGACACAGGCUCAUCUGAGUUCCCAGACAGUUACAAGACUGCAUCUUCCACACAGUACUAGACACUUCUCCGUAAUAGCAGUGCCCAAGGUCCAGUCAGUCUGCAGUGUUUGAAAAUGAAGUCAUUGAACACAAAGUUAUAGGAAGUUUGCAUUUUAACUACAGUGAUUAUAAACACACUGUCCUGUUGCUUGGUGUCACCGACUGCAGAGGAAUCACCCAUGUCACCUUCCUGUAACAUUGGCAUGAUGGAAUAUUCACUUCCUAGCCCCCAAGCAUCCUGACUUCCAGUUGUGUUGUGGGCCUCAAGCUUUUAAAUUGCAUUUUAACUCCGAGAAGCUAUGUUGGUAAGGUUAAAUGCACCCCAGUGAGGUAGACAAAUGGCUUCUGAAAGCCAUUAUCAUAGGUGUCCUGGCGUGCACUUGCAGACCCAUCCAUGUCAUCCAGGCUCCACUCCCAGCCUGGAUGCUUUGUAAAUCUGUGUGCUCGGUAAUCCUCAAACACACAGCAUCCAGACCAUGGCAAGCAGGCCAUGCUGUUCACUGUCAUGCUGUGAUAAGCCAGUCUCCAAAAGACUGUACCCCUGUAACAAAUACAAGUCAAUUUGUUUUCAAGUUAAUUUUUGGAUGUGGGAAUGGUGACUCCUGCCUGUUAUCCCAACACCAGAGAGGCAGAAGCAAGAGGCUCUGCACAAGGUCAGAGGUCAGCGGGGCUACAUGCACAGACCCUGUGUAUUGGUUACUAUGUUUCUACUUGCUUUGACCCUGCACAGACCCUGUAUAUUAGUUACUAUGUUUCUAGUUGCUUUGACCCUGCACAGACCCUGUGUAUUGGUUACUAUGUUUCUAGUUGCUUUGACCCUACACAGACCCUGUGUAUUAGUUACUAUGUUUCUAGUUGCUUUGACCCUGCACAGACCCUGUGUAUUAGUUACUAUGUUUCUACUUGCUUUGACCCUGCACAGACCCUGUGUAUUAGUUACUAUGUUUCUACUUACUUUGUCCAACUGCUAGACAAAAAGUAACUUAAGGAAGGAAGGAUUUGUUUUGGCUCCUGGUUUGAAAGGCUGCAGUCCAGCAUGGGGGAAGGCACAGCAGCAGGAGGACAGCCUGCCAGUUACAUUGUAUCCAGUCGGAGAGAGAUGAAGGGCAGUGUUCCGCUUUCUCCCCCCACCCCAGCUGAUGCGAUGCUGCCGCCUAUAUUCGUGGUGAAUCUUCCCAUCUCAGACAAUCUUCUCUGAAAACACACACACUCAGACACACGCAGAGGUGUGUUUCCAUGGUGAGUCUAAACCAGUGCGGUUAACAGUGAAGAUUAACCAUCACAUGUCUCAACAACAACAAGAAAUUAAGUUUGAAUCACAGUUGGGUUGAUCAUGGGAUUUGGGGCUUAGCUGAGUUUUCAUGACCUCUUUGGUCAUGACCUUGAACAAAAGCAACUUGGGGAUGAAAGGGUUUAUUUCCUCUUACAGGUUAUAGUCUAUUAUCCAGGGAAGCCAAGGCAGGAACUUAGAGGUAGGAACUGAAACAGAGACCAUGGGGAAGUGCUGCUUCCUGGCUUGCUCCUGGGCUCAUGUUUAGCUACUUUUCUUAUACAACCCAGGCCCUCAUGCCUAAGGAUGGCGCUGUGGGCCAAGGCCUCUGACAACAAUUAACAAUCAACAAAAUACCGCACAGACAUGGCCACAAAUCAUCUGGUCAAAGUUAUUCCUCAGCUGAGGUGGCUCCUUUCCAGAUAAUACUACGUUAUAUCAUUACACCAAGUUGACAUGAACCGACCUGCUCACCUCUUCUUGUGUAUUUCCUACUUCAGGAAUUUGGCACCAAGGUAAAGACUUCAGUGUGGUCAGCAUCAACAGCAAGUGCGAUAGAAACGUCGUCUCUUCAUUUUUCUUCACAUUUCUGGAUCCCCUGAUGCUUUCAAGAACAUUAGGGACAUUCAGUCUCUCUGCUGUCACGUUUCCCUGAUGACUUUAAUUUUAGUUAACACAUCAUAUAAAAUCAGCUGAACAACUAAGUUGAAAAGUGGGUUCUUAAAAGAAAGUAUAUCCUGAUGGAACUCUCGAAUCUUAAACAACAAACAAAAUCUGGGCUGGGGUUAGAGAAGUGAUUCAGCAGUUAAGAGUAUGUUACCACUUGCCAGGCGUGGUGGCACACGCCUUUAAUCCCAG